RNAcentral lists this ribosomal RNA (409 nucleotides) under Brucella melitensis. RNAcentral's name for it is "partial 16S ribosomal RNA". It matches the Rfam family "Bacterial small subunit ribosomal RNA", at positions 355 to 776 of the family's 1533-position model. Lineage: Bacteria; Pseudomonadati; Pseudomonadota; Alphaproteobacteria; Hyphomicrobiales; Brucellaceae. The record is from RNAcentral. RNAcentral also lists the same sequence under 1 other name.
UGGGGAAUAUUGCACAAUGGGCGAAAGCCUGAUGCAGCGACGCCGCGUGAGGGAUGACGGCCUUCGGGUUGUAAACCUCUUUCAGCAGGGACGAAGCGCAAGUGACGGUACCUGCAGAAGAAGCACCGGCUAACUACGUGCCAGCAGCCGCGGUAAUACGUAGGGUGCAAGCGUUGUCCGGAAUUACUGGGCGUAAAGAGUUCGUAGGCGGUUUGUCGCGUCGUUUGUGAAAACCAGCAGCUCAACUGCUGGCUUGCAGGCGAUACGGGCAGACUUGAGCACUGCAGGGGAGACUGGAAUUCCUGGUGUAGCGGUGAAAUGCGCAGAUAUCAGGAGGAACACCGGUGGCGAAGGCGGGUCUCUGGGCAGUAACUGACGCUGAGGAACGAAAGCGUGGGUAGCGAACAGG